GAUGCCGGCGAGCGCGGACGGGUGAGUAAUGCCUAGGAAUCUGCCUGGUAGUGGGGGAUAACUCGGGGAAACUCGAGCUAAUACCGCAUACGUCCUACAGGAGAAAGCGGGGGAUCUUCGGACCUCGCGCUACCAGAUGAGCCUAGGUCGGAUUAGCUAGUUGGUGAGGUAAAGGCUCACCAAGGCGACGAUCCGUAGCUGGUCUGAGAGGAUGAUCAGCCACACUGGAACUGAGACACGGUCCAGACUCCUACGGGAGGCAGCAGUGGGGAAUAUUGGACAAUGGGCGAAAGCCUGAUCCAGCCAUGCCGCGUGUGUGAAGGAGGUCUUCGGAUUGUAAAGCACUUUAAGUUGGGAGGAAGGGCAGUAAGUUAAUACCUUGCUGUUUUGACGUCACCGACAGAAUAAGCACCGGCUAACUUCGUGCCAGCAGCCGCGGUAAUACGAAGGGUGCAAGCGUUAAUCGGAAUUACUGGGCGUAAAGCGCG
This 488-nucleotide ribosomal RNA is filed under the name Pseudomonas sp. Its description in RNAcentral is "bacterial SSU rRNA". It matches the Rfam family "Bacterial small subunit ribosomal RNA", at positions 85 to 569 of the family's 1533-position model. The record is from RNAcentral. Lineage: Bacteria; Pseudomonadati; Pseudomonadota; Gammaproteobacteria; Pseudomonadales; Pseudomonadaceae.